This 88-nucleotide transfer RNA is filed under the name Escherichia coli. RNAcentral describes it as "tRNA-???(tcag)". It matches the Rfam family "tRNA". From Rfam's summary of the family: Transfer RNA (tRNA) molecules are approximately 80 nucleotides in length. Their secondary structure includes four short double-helical elements and three loops (D, anti-codon, and T loops). RNAcentral also lists the same sequence under 1 other name. The record is from RNAcentral. Lineage: Bacteria; Pseudomonadati; Pseudomonadota; Gammaproteobacteria; Enterobacterales; Enterobacteriaceae.
GCGAAGGUGGCGGAAUUGGUAGACGCGCUAGCUUUCAGGUGUUAGUGUCCUUACGGACGUGGGGGUUCAAGUCCCCCCCCUCGCACCA